Molecule: unclassified non-coding RNA, 1138 nt
Filed under: Hevea brasiliensis (rubber tree)
Lineage: Eukaryota; Viridiplantae; Streptophyta; Magnoliopsida; Malpighiales; Euphorbiaceae
Source: RNAcentral
GGAUUUUUUAGUUUUCUUUUUGUGGUUUGGGAAAUUGUGAAAAGGGUUGCUGGGUUUUUGAGAUUUGGGAAGUGGGGAUGGUGAAUUUCUGGGUGUUUUUGUUGAUAUGUUUUGUGUCUUUGACGGCUUCUCGAGCUACUGGUAGUGUGAUUUUGAUUGGAAAUAACAGGACUUUGUCUUUUGAAGAUAUUGAAGCUAAUUUUGCUCCCUCACCAAAGGGUUCAGGAAAAUGUGGGAGGUUGUAUAUUGCGGAGCCUUUGGAUGCCUGCUCAACCUUGACUAACAAGAUUGAACCAACUAAUAACUUCACAAAAGAACCAUUUGUUCUGAUAAUCAGGGGUGGAUGUAGCUUUGAAGAUAAAGUUAGAAAAGCACAAGCUGCAGGUUUUAAAGCAGCCAUUAUCUAUGAUAGUGGAUAUGGAGAUAUAAUUGCAAUGGCAGGAACCUCUGCUGGUGUGAAGAUACUGGCAGUUUUCAUUUCAAAAGCUUCUGGAGAAGCACUCACACAGUAUGCUGGCUCGGAUACGGAAGUAUGGUUAAUCCCAAGCUUGGAAAACUCAGCUUGGUCAAUCAUGGCUACAUCUUUCAUUUCACUACUUUCUAUGUCUGCUGUACUUGCAAUGUGUUUCUUUGUUCGCCGACAUCAUAUACGAAGAGAACGGCCACGAGCUUCUCGUGUUCGCGAAUUUCAUGGGAUUAGUAGCCGUUUGGUUAAAGCUAUGCCAAGUUUGAUAUUUACGUCAGUUGUGGAGGAUAAUUCUACAUCAGUGACAUGUGCUAUAUGCCUUGAAGAUUAUACUGCUGGAGAUAAGCUUAGAAUUCUUCCAUGCCGGCACAAAUUUCACACUAUGUGUGUUGAUGCUUGGCUGACAUCAUGGAGAACCUUUUGCCCUGUCUGCAAACGGGAUGCAAGAACUAGCACUGGUGAUCCACCACCUUCAGAAUCCACACCAUUGCUUUCAAGCGCUCCCAGUUCUGUUGCUUCAUCCUCAAUAUUAUCUUCCGUGAGAUCAUCAUUACCACCAAGCUCAGCCAUUCAAAUAUCCCCAGCAUCAAGAUCGCCUUCGGUAUCUCGGAACCACUCUCUCUCAAGCACCCCUUACCUUCAGCAGUCUCUGAGAUCCUCCUACCGUCAAUC